RNAcentral lists this ribosomal RNA (505 nucleotides) under Achelia sawayai. RNAcentral's name for it is "partial 16S ribosomal RNA". Lineage: Eukaryota; Metazoa; Arthropoda; Pycnogonida; Pantopoda; Ammotheidae. The record is from RNAcentral.
GCUUUUUGAUUUAUUUAUAAAAGGUCGGUCCUGCUCAAUGAUUAUUUUAAAUAGCCGCAGUAAAUUGACUGUGCAAAGGUAGCAUAAUAAUUUGUCUUUUAAUUGAAGACUGGAAUGAAUGGGUUGACAUAAAACUAUCUGUCUUAAUUUUUAUUUUUGAAUUUUAUUUUAAGGUUAAAAAGCUUUAAAUUUUUGGUUAAUGUUUUUAAGGGACGAAAAGACCCUAUCAAGUUUUAUAUUAUUAAUUUGUUAUUCUUUAAUUUUUUUUAUAAUAUUUGUUUGGGGCGGAAUUUAUAGUUUAUUUUUAAUUAAUUUUUAUGAUUUGUUAAUCUAUUUUUAUCUUAUAUUAUAAAUUAAAUUAAUAAAUUACUGUAGGGAUAACAGAGUAAUUUUUUUUUAGAGUUCAAAUUGAUAAAAGAGAUUACUACCUCGAUGUUGGAUUAAAUUAAACUUAUUAAAUGAAGAAGUUAAUAUAAGUAAGUCUGUUCGACUUUUAAAAUUUACA